GGGCGCAGAAAGAGCGCAGAAAUUUGCGGAGUCUCCAUUUUCUUUCAGCCAUGAAGGAGAGCAGGUUCAUCUUUUUCAGCCAAAACACCAACAGUGUGGAUUUGAUUUGAUUUGAUUUGAUUUGAUUUGAUUUGAUUAGUAAAUAUUUAUAUUUUCAUUUUAAACCUUUUGAACCAUCAAACUGAAGCUGUUUAUAAAGGAUCCCAACAGAAGAGGCUGAUCAGUUGGAGAGGCUCCUUCCUCAACAUAAUCCAGCAGCCUUCAGCUACAGAUCAGAGCUUCUCCUGUCUGCUUAUUGAAGCUUCUGUAAAGAAGUUCCACCCAGAGGCUCAUAUUCUCCAUCAAUAUCUGAAACAAUGAGUUUAAACAACGAGUUUAAACUGAACCAACAUGAUCCAGAGUGUGAGUCUAACCAGCAGCACAUCCCCUCUGCCCUGCUCUCAGCUCAGCUCAGGCCCAGGAAGCCUCCUUCCUGCUCAGCAAUGGCUCCCCCUAUCCACCUCUCCAUUAUUUCCUUGUUAGUGCACAGCCCAGCCUCUGGGCCUCCCCACCAAUAACCACCACAAAUACAACCAAAUACACCAGAAAACUUCACUUUUCCUCUCUAAAUGUUGGCUACAGAGUCUGUCUUUGCCUCCCAGCCAACAUUAUGUGCCACAGGCUCCAACACAUCAGAGGAUU
This is a long non-coding RNA of Austrofundulus limnaeus, 681 nucleotides long. RefSeq lists it as uncharacterized. The record is from RefSeq and is a predicted model, not a curated record. NCBI's taxonomy places the organism in Eukaryota, Metazoa, Chordata, Actinopteri, Cyprinodontiformes, Rivulidae. The transcript has 3 exons.